GACGAACGCUGGCGGCGUGCUUAACACAUGCAAGUCGAACGGAAAGGCCCUGCUUUUGUGGGGUGCUCGAGUGGCGAACGGGUGAGUAACACGUGAGUAACCUGCCCUUUACUUUGGGAUAACUUCAGGAAACUGGGGCUAAUACCGGAUAGGAGCUCCUGCUGCAUGGUGGGGGUUGGAAAGUUUCGGCGGUUGGGGAUGGACUCGCGGCUUAUCAGCUUGUUGGUGGGGUAGUGGCUUACCAAGGCUUUGACGGGUAGCCGGCCUGAGAGGGUGACCGGCGACAUUGGGACUGAGAUACGGCCCAGACUCCUACGGGAGGCAGCAGUGGGUAAUAUUGCACAAUGGGCGGAAGCCUGAUGCAGCAACGCCGCGUGCGGGAUGACGGCCUUCGGGUUGUAAACCGCUUUCGCCUGUGACGAAGCGUGAGUGACGGUAAUUGGUAAAGAAGCACCGGCUAACUACGUG
RNAcentral lists this ribosomal RNA (468 nucleotides) under uncultured bacterium. RNAcentral's name for it is "partial 16S ribosomal RNA". It matches the Rfam family "Bacterial small subunit ribosomal RNA", at positions 28 to 507 of the family's 1533-position model. The record is from RNAcentral.